GAUCAACCGAGUUGAAUUUAUUCACUGUAAAUCAUUUCUACAUAGGGAUAUAAAGCCAGACAACUUCCUUAUGAGUUUAGGGAGGCGUGCUAAUCAGGUCUAUGCUAUUGAUUUCGGGCUAGCCAAGAAAUAUAGAGACUCUUCAACUCAUCGGCACAUUCCAUAUAGAGAGAACAAGAAUUUGACAGGGACAGCUAGAUAUGCAAGCAUGAACCCAAGCCUGAUGGAACAUAAGAG
Long non-coding RNA from Lactuca sativa (garden lettuce), 237 nucleotides. RefSeq lists it as uncharacterized. Lineage: Eukaryota; Viridiplantae; Streptophyta; Magnoliopsida; Asterales; Asteraceae. The record is from RefSeq and is a predicted model, not a curated record.